This 448-nucleotide ribosomal RNA is filed under the name uncultured bacterium. Its description in RNAcentral is "partial 16S ribosomal RNA". It matches the Rfam family "Bacterial small subunit ribosomal RNA", at positions 29 to 523 of the family's 1533-position model. The record is from RNAcentral.
AACGAACGCUGGCGGCAGGCCUAACACAUGCAAGUCGAACGCUCCAGCAAUGGGGAGUGGCGCACGGGUGAGUAACGCGUGGGAACGUGCCCUUUAGUAUGGAAUAACACCGGGAAACUGGUGCUAAUGCCAUAUACGCCCUUCGGGGGAAAGAUUUAUCGCUAAAGGAUCGGCCCGCGUUAGAUUAGGUAGUUAGUGGGGUAAUGGCCUACCAAGCCUACGAUCUAUAGCUGGUCUGAGAGGAUGAUCAGCCACACUGGAACUGAGACACGGUCCAGACUCCUACGGGAGGCAGCAGUGGGGAAUAUUGGACAAUGGGGGAAACCCUGAUCCAGCCAUGCCGCGUGAGUGAUGAAGGCCUUAGGGUUGGAAAGCUCUUUUGUCAGGGACGAUGAUGACGGUACCUGAAGAAUAAGCCCCGGCAAACUUCGUGCCAGCCGCCGGGUAA